RNAcentral lists this ribosomal RNA (499 nucleotides) under uncultured bacterium. RNAcentral describes it as "partial 16S ribosomal RNA". It matches the Rfam family "Bacterial small subunit ribosomal RNA", at positions 28 to 507 of the family's 1533-position model. The record is from RNAcentral.
GACGAACGCUGGCGGCGUGCCUAAUACAUGCAAGUCGAGCGGACUGAAUGGGAGCUUGCUCUUGUUCGGUCAGCGGCGGACGGGUGAGUAACACGUGGGCAACCUGCCCGCAAGACCGGGAUAACUCCGGGAAACCGGAGCUAAUACCGGAUAACACCGAAGACCGCAUGGUCUUUGGUUGAAAGGCGGCGCAAGCUGCCACUUGCGGAUGGGCCCGCGGCGCAUUAGCUAGUUGGUGAGGUAACGGCUCACCAAGGCGACGAUGCGUAGCCGGCCUGAGAGGGUGAGCGGCCAAACUGGGACGGAGACACGGCCCAGACUACUACGGGAGGCAGCAGUAGGGAAUCUUCCGCAAUGGGCGAAAGCCUGGCGGAGCGACGCCGCGUGAGCGAAGAAGGCCUUCGGGUCGUAAAGCUCUGUUGUGAGGGACGAAGGAGCGCCGUUUGAAGAAGGCGGCGCGGUGACGGUACCUCACGAGGAAGCCCCGGCUAACUACGUG